RNAcentral lists this ribosomal RNA (676 nucleotides) under Inocybe assimilata. RNAcentral describes it as "eukaryotic LSU rRNA". It matches the Rfam family "Eukaryotic large subunit ribosomal RNA", at positions 1 to 653 of the family's 3401-position model. The record is from RNAcentral. Lineage: Eukaryota; Fungi; Basidiomycota; Agaricomycetes; Agaricales; Inocybaceae.
UUGACCUCAAAUCAGGUAGGAUUACCCGCUGAACUUAAGCAUAUCAAUAAGCGGAGGAAAAGAAACUAACAAGGAUUCCCCUAGUAACUGCGAGUGAAGCGGGAAAAGCUCAAAUUUGAAAUCUGGCAGUUUUUGACUGUCCGAGUUGUAAUCUAGAGAAGUGUUACCUGUGCUGGACCGUGUACAAGUCUUCUGGAAUGGAGCAUCAUAGAGGGUGAGAAUCCCGUCUUUGACACGGACUACCUGUACAUUGUGGUAUGCUCUCAAAGAGUCGAGUUGUUUGGGAAUGCAGCUCAAAAUGGGUGGUAAAUGCCAUCUAAAGCUAAAUAUUGGCGAGAGACCGAUAGCGAACAAGUACCGUGAGGGAAAGAUGAAAAGAACUUUGGAAAGAGAGUUAAACAGUACGUGAAAUUGCUGAAAGGGAAACGCUUGAAGUCAGUCACGUUGGCUAGAAAUCAGUCUUGCUUCUGCUUGGUGUACUUUCUGGUUGACGGGUCAGCAUCAAUUUUGACCACUGGAUAAAGUCUCUGGGAAUGUGGCAUCUUUUUUAGAUGUGUUAAAGCCCAUUGUCGCAUACAGUGGUUGGGAUUGAGGAACUCAGCACGCCCUGCAAGGGGCCAGGUUUUGACCAUGUUCGUGCUUAGGAUGCUGGCAUAAUGGCUUCAAUCGACCCGUC